RNAcentral lists this ribosomal RNA (433 nucleotides) under uncultured bacterium. Its description in RNAcentral is "partial 16S ribosomal RNA". It matches the Rfam family "Bacterial small subunit ribosomal RNA", at positions 29 to 507 of the family's 1533-position model. The record is from RNAcentral.
AACGAACGCUGGCGGCAUGCCUAACACAUGCAAGUCGAACGAGACCUUCGGGUCUAGUGGCGCACGGGUGCGUAACGCGUGGGAACCUGCCCUUAGGUUCGGAAUAACUCCCCGAAAGGGGUGCUAAUACCGGAUAAUGUCUUCGGACCAAAGAUUUAUCGCCUUUGGAUGGGCCCGCGUUGGAUUAGCUAGUUGGUAGGGUAAAAGCCUACCAAGGCGACGAUCCAUAGCUGGUCUGAGAGGAUGAUCAGCCACACUGGGACUGAGACACGGCCCAGACUCCUACGGGAGGCAGCAGUGGGGAAUAUUGGACAAGGGGAGAAAGCCUGAUCCAGCAAUGCCGCGUGAGUGAUGAAGGCCUUAGGGUUGUAAAGCUCUUUUACCCGGGAUGAUAAUGACAGUACCGGGAGAAUAAGCUCCGGCUAACUCCGUG